RNAcentral lists this ribosomal RNA (253 nucleotides) under uncultured bacterium. Its description in RNAcentral is "partial 16S ribosomal RNA". It matches the Rfam family "Bacterial small subunit ribosomal RNA", at positions 524 to 776 of the family's 1533-position model. The record is from RNAcentral.
UACGGGGGGGGCAAGCGUUGUUCGGAAUUACUGGGCGUAAAGGGCUUGUAGGUGGCCAACUAAGUCAGACGUGAAAUCCCUCAGCUUAACUGGGGAACUGCGUCUGAUACUGGAUGGCUUGAGUUUGGGAGAGGGACGCGGAAUUCCAGGUGUAGCGGUGAAAUGCGUAGAUAUCUGGAGGAACACCGGUGGCGAAGGCGGCGGCCUGGACCAACACUGACACUGAAAAGCGAAAGCCAGGGGAGCAAACGGG